RNAcentral lists this unclassified non-coding RNA (528 nucleotides) under Hevea brasiliensis (rubber tree). The record is from RNAcentral. Lineage: Eukaryota; Viridiplantae; Streptophyta; Magnoliopsida; Malpighiales; Euphorbiaceae.
GAUUGUAGGAGCACUCGCAAGCGGUUUGUAAGCUGGCAAAUCAAAGUCCAUUGCAUGGACAUCUCUGAGUCCUUCAUCCGCCUUAUAAUAGAGGCCUAUAAGGAGAGAAAGAUGAAUGUUUUAUGUGAUUAUUAGAUAGUUCUUGAUAAAGAAUCUUAAAAACAGUCAUCUUCUGACCACGUCUGAAUAAUUAUCAUCCAGAAAACCCAACCAUCAAAACUGUUUUUUUUUUUAAAGCCUAGUUUUUGUUAUUGGACUUGUCAGAAUUUGAUAACAAAUUUAGAAGAAACAAUGAGUUGAUUUCAGUAAAUAAAAAUUAGAAUAAAAUUAGUAGAAUUGAGAUAACCUGAAGAUGUUUCCCACGCUGCAGCUCACCUUCAGUACCAAAUGAAAUGUUAUUGGCCAAAUAUUUCAGCGGAUCAGCUGAAGGAUCAACAGAAAGUAAACUAGGAAAUUAAAAUCUGUGGGGUGUACACCAGCCUCUCAUCUAGCCUUACCAAAUUUCCCCUUCCCUUCUAUUCUCGGCAU